CCUACGGGAGGCUGCAGUGAGGAAUAUUGGUCAAUGGACGAAAGUCUGAACCAGCCAAGUAGCGUGAAGGAUGACUGCCCUAUGGGUUUUAAACUUCUUUUAUAUGGGAAUAAAAUGUUCCACGUGUGGGAUUUUGUAUGUACCAUAUGAAUAAGGAGCGGAUAACUCCGUGCCAGCAGCCGCCGUAAUACGGAGGAUCCGAGCGUUAUCCGGAUUUAUUGGGUUUAAAGGGAGCGUAGGUGGAUUCUUAAGUCAGUUGUGAAAGUUUGCGGCUCAACCGUAAAAUUGCAGUUGAAACUGGCAAGCUUGAGUACAGGAGAGGUGGGCGGAAUUCGUGGUGUAGCGGUGAAAUGCUUAGAUAUCACGAAGAACUCCGAUUGCGAAGGCAGUUCACUAGACUGCAGCUGACACUGAGGCUCGAAAGUGUGGGUAUCAAACAGGAUUAGAUACCCUUGUAGUC
Molecule: ribosomal RNA, 460 nt
Filed under: uncultured bacterium
Lineage: Bacteria
Description: partial 16S ribosomal RNA
Rfam family: Bacterial small subunit ribosomal RNA
Source: RNAcentral